RNAcentral lists this ribosomal RNA (426 nucleotides) under uncultured bacterium. RNAcentral's name for it is "bacterial SSU rRNA". It matches the Rfam family "Bacterial small subunit ribosomal RNA", at positions 354 to 773 of the family's 1533-position model. The record is from RNAcentral.
GUGGGGAAUCUUGCGCAAUGGACGAAAGUCUGACGCAGCGACGCCGCGUGGGUGAUGAAGGCCUUCGGGUUGUAAAGCCCUGUGGGGAGGGACGAAUAAGUCUGACCUAAUACGUCAGGCGAUGACGGUACCUCUUUAGCAAGCACCGGCUAACUCUGUGCCAGCAGCCGCGGUAAGACAGAGGGUGCAAACGUUGUUCGGAAUUACUGGGCGUAAAGCGCGUGUAGGCGGUCGGGCAAGUCGGAUGUGAAAGCCCAGGGCUCAACCCUGGAAGUGCACUCGAUACUGCUCGGCUAGAGUCCCGGAGAGGAUGGUGGAACUCUCGGUGUAGAGGUGAAAUUCGUAGAUAUCGAGAAGAACACCGGUGGCGAAGGCGGCCAUCUGGACGGUGACUGACGCUGAGACGCGAAAGCGUGGGGAGCAAAC